AUGCAAGACUACUUCGCGGAGAAUCCUACAUAUCCACCGCACCUCUUUCGGAGAAGGUACCGAAUGCGCCGAUCCCUCUUUAUCAAAAUUGUUCAAGCUUGCGAGGAAAAUUGCCGGUAUUUUACUCAAAGAAGAAAUGUUGCUGGCUUAAAGGGAUUUAGUGCAUAUAAAAAAAAUUCCGCGGCUAUGCGGGUGAUUGCGUACUCUCAAUGA
RNAcentral lists this ribosomal RNA (213 nucleotides) under Triticum aestivum (bread wheat). RNAcentral's name for it is "partial small subunit ribosomal RNA". Lineage: Eukaryota; Viridiplantae; Streptophyta; Magnoliopsida; Poales; Poaceae. The record is from RNAcentral.